GUUUACAUUCAAACAGAGCACUCUGGAAUGCUAUUAAAUGUCUGUUUCUCCACUGCACAGGGGCAGGAAGAGAAGAGAAGGGGUAAUAGGAAUUGCAUCUGUAAUUCACCUACCCUGACAAAGCUAGAAGUGUCUGGCUACUCCUUAGGAAACAAAAAAUAAAAUCUACAGGGAAGACAUAAAGACUUUAUCCUUUUGGCUGGCUAAUAUGUCCAAUUGCAACUUUCAGAAAGCAGAAAAGGAAAAACAAAUUCACCUGCUGGCUGGACAGUAAGCCCAGAGAGGUCUGAUUUAUGUAGCUUGACUGAAGUAUGUAUUUGAAGACCUAGGAAAGAGUCUGAAGCUGGCAGCUCCUCUGCAAGGGAUUAGCACCUAACCCUGCCCUCAGCUGAUUCUGCGUGUCCUGUUCAAUCCACGUUUUCAGCUCUGACAACUGGAAGCCAGGAAUCCUUGGGGCUUUUAAAAACCACUUAUAGCUCUACUUAUUCUCUAAUGACUGUUCACCUUCCAUGUUACUCACUCACAGCUAUAUUUUGCUGCUUUUAUUUCUGUUCUAUCUGACUUGUUCUGGAGAGGUUUCUCAGUUAACAAGCAACAGUGUGUCAGCUGUGUGUCAGUAUUGUAUUGCAUUAUAUUAUAUUAUAUUAAUUAUUAUUUUGUAUAAUAUUGUGGUGGGCAGUAAUAAUUUUCAUGUAGAAGGAUACAGCAUAUUCCUCACAUUACAUAAUUAUAUCCAAUUUUAAAGCCUUUGACAGCAAUAAAAUAAAAAAUCAACCAAAAUAUUUUACA
RNAcentral lists this long non-coding RNA (789 nucleotides) under Chloebia gouldiae (Gouldian finch). Its description in RNAcentral is "Erythrura gouldiae (Gouldian finch) lncRNA (ENSEGOG00005001365.1)". The record is from RNAcentral. Lineage: Eukaryota; Metazoa; Chordata; Aves; Passeriformes; Passeridae.